AACGAACGCUGGCGGCAGGCCUAACACAUGCAAGUCGAGCGCCCAGCAAUGGGAGCGGCGGACGGGUGAGUAACACGUGGGAAUAUGCCUUUCGGUUCGGCACAACUCAGGGAAACUUGAGCUAAUUCCGGAUACGCCCUUACGGGGAAAGAUUUAUCGCCGAAAGAUUAGCCCGCGUUGGAUUAGCUAGUUGGUGAGGUAACGGCCCACCAAGGCGACGAUCCAUAGCUGGUUUGAGAGAACGACCAGCCACACUGGGACUGAGACACGGCCCAGACUCCUACGGGAGCAGCAGUGGGGAAUCUUGGACAAUGGGGGAAACCCUGAUCCAGCCAUGCCGCGUGAGUGAUGAAGG
This 355-nucleotide ribosomal RNA is filed under the name uncultured bacterium. RNAcentral's name for it is "bacterial SSU rRNA". It matches the Rfam family "Bacterial small subunit ribosomal RNA", at positions 29 to 414 of the family's 1533-position model. The record is from RNAcentral.